CCUACGGGCGGCAGCAGUAGGGAAUAUUGCUCAAUGGGGGAAACCCUGAAGCAGCAACGCCGCGUGGAGGAUGAAGGUUUUCGGAUUGUUAACCCCUUUUGUUAGAGAAGUAAAUUACGGUACCUAUCCACUUCUCACCGUCCAACGCCGUGCAACCAGCCGCGGCAAUACGGCGGGCGCCAGGGUUAUCCGGAAUCUCCGGGCGUAAAGGGCGUGUAGGCGGGAUAGCAAGUCAGGUGUGAAAACCUUUGGUUUAACCGUAGAACUGCAGUUGAAACUGUUACUCUAGAGUUUGGGAGAGGUAGGUGGAAUGCUUGGUGUAGGGGUGAAAUCCGUAGAGAUCAGGAGGAAUACUGAUUGCGAAGGCGGCCUGCUAGAGCAUAACUGACGCUGAUGCACGAAAGCGUGGGGAGCAAACAGGAUUAGAUACCCGGGUAGUC
This 440-nucleotide ribosomal RNA is filed under the name uncultured bacterium. RNAcentral describes it as "partial 16S ribosomal RNA". It matches the Rfam family "Bacterial small subunit ribosomal RNA", at positions 338 to 795 of the family's 1533-position model. The record is from RNAcentral.